AAUAAUCCAGAGCUAGCAGAAGGUGACGGAUCGUAGAAGUUGUAUGAGAUUAACGGAUUUCUCAUGCAUCCAAGCGGUUCCAGGAAAUAACCUCUGCAUUGAGCCGUACCCGAAACCGACACAGGUGGGAAGGUAGAGUAUACCAAGGCGUUGAGAGAAGUAUGGUGAAGGAACUCGGCAAAUUGCACGCGUAACUUCGGGAUAAGCGUGGCCCAUUUUAGCGCAAGCUACUAUGGGCGGCACAAAAGAGGGGGUGGCGACUGUUUAUCAAAAACACAGGGCUCUGCUAAAUCACAAGAUGAUGUAUAGGGUCUGACGCCUGCCCGGUGCUGGAAGGUUAAGAAAAGCUGUUAACGCAGUGGAUUGAAGCCCCAGUAAACGGCGGCCGUAACGAUAACGGUCCUAAGGUAGCGAAAUUCCUUGUCGGGUAAGUUCCGACCCGCAUGAAUGGCGUAACGAUCUCCCCACUGUCUCCACCAUAUGCUCAGCGAAAUAGAACUCCCCGUGAAGAUGCGGGGUAGCCGCGGCUAGACGGAAAGACCCUAUGAACCUUUACUGUAACUUCGCAGUGGGUGCAGGAAUGAUUUGUGCAGCAUAGGCGGGAGACAUUGAAGCGUUGGCGUUAGCUGGCGUGGAGUCAACAGUGAGAUACCGCCCUAAUCGUUUUUGCAUUCUAACCGCACGCCUCACCGGCGUCGGGACCCUGCGUGGUGGGCAGUUUGACUGGGGCGGUCGCCUCCCAAAAAGUAACGGAGGCGCGCGAAGGUCGGCUUAGCACGGUCGGAAACCGUGCGUUAAGUGCAAUGGCAAAAGCCGGCCUGACUGCAAGGGGGACACCCCGAGCAGACACGAAAGUGGGCCAUAGUGAUCCGGUGGUUCUGCAUGGAAGGGCCAUCGCAAACGGAUAAAAGGUACUCUAGGGAUAACAGGCUGAUCGCAUCCAAGCGUCCAUAGCGACGAUGCGGUUUGGCACCUCGAUGUCGGCUCAUCACAUCCUGGGGCUGGAGCAGGUCCCAAGGGUAUGGCUGUUCGCCAUUUAAAGUGGUACGUGAGCUGGGUUCAAAACGUCGUGAGACAGUUUGGUCCCUAUCUACCGUGGCUGUUGGAGUGUUGAGGCAAGUUGAUCUUAGUACGAGAGGACCGGAUCGAACGCACCUCUGGUUUACCUGUUGUGGCGCCAGCCGCAUCGCAGGGUAGCCACGUGCGGACGAGAUAACCACUGAAAGCAUCUAAGUGGGAAGCUUCUGCCAAAACUAGCACUCCCAAUGAGGGACGUUGAAGACUACAACGUUGAUAGGUCGCGUGUGUAAGUGCAGCAAUGCAUUAAGCUAAGCGAUACUAAUGACCCGAUUGA
This 1354-nucleotide ribosomal RNA is filed under the name metagenome. RNAcentral's name for it is "bacterial LSU rRNA". It matches the Rfam family "Bacterial large subunit ribosomal RNA", at positions 1432 to 2925 of the family's 2925-position model. The record is from RNAcentral.